Long non-coding RNA from Anopheles coustani, 1204 nucleotides. RefSeq lists it as uncharacterized. The record is from RefSeq and is a predicted model, not a curated record. NCBI's taxonomy places the organism in Eukaryota, Metazoa, Arthropoda, Insecta, Diptera, Culicidae. The transcript has 3 exons.
GAAAAUGUACUGAAUACACAAUGUUCUAGAAUAUUCAUAUUGUUUGGUGGCAGAACAAAAGAUGAAUACAUAAUUUAAUGGAGAAAUGCCAAAAGAUUGAUGUGAAGAUUUUAGGGGACAAGUAAUAAUUCGCACGGAAUAGCUUUUGUGUUGGGGGGUCCGCGACAGCCGAGCGGUAGCGCCGGUUAGAAAAUCGUCCCAUGAGCGCCGGGGCUCACCACCUCGACGGCGUGGGUUCGAAUCCCAACCGAGACCGGACCCUCCCCUGUACGAGAGGGACUGACUAUCCACGUACAACAGGGAAACAAGUCUCGUAAGCCCUUAAACGGGCAGGCAUGACCAAGAGGUCGUUACGCCAAGAAGAAGAAGCUUUUGUGUUCCGUAGGCGUGAUAAAAUUCUUACCGUAUUAUUCUGUGUAUAACGACCCCGUUUUAGUUCAUAAAUUAUCAAAGUCCGAUUAAGUGGGUCGUUAUACACAGGUAGUAACUUUUCCAUUCGAUCAUAGAGUGGAGGUUAAAACACGUACAACAUUGUUACAACUGAUGAAAUGUAGAAAACAAAUUUUUUCAAUUUUUUUCAUAAACAUAAAAAAAUUGUUUUUUGGGGUCGUUAUACACUGAAAAAUACGGUACUUUGCUAUGUUGACAAUGAAGGAAAAAUUGUAAACAGCGGUUGGCUGGUAUGUUGCAAUGUUUCGUUUUGUCAGAAAUAUGUGCAAUGUGAUGUUCAUAAUUUAAUUUGAAUUUUUAAUGACGGCAAAUUUCCUUCCAAAUAAUGUGUGUAACCGAAUAUUAUGGCGUACUAUUGGUACUUAUCAAAAGCUGCAUUAUAACUAGGCAUCGUGAUGAGGUUGGGUUUGUGAUGUGACGUGUUGUUGAUGUUGGAUAGUGAAUGUGUGCCAACGGUAAGGGAUAAUUGCUACGGUAUGUGCAACGGAAAGAACAUCACUACUGCAGUCCAAGGUAAAUGCUUAAAUUUUUUCCUAGGUUGUUUUGGUUUGAACUUGAUAGUUUCAUAAGCCUCAUAAGCCUCAGAGAGGCGAAAAACUUUUUCGGAACUCACGUUUUUCGCGACUGUGAGUGCCGAAAAACUUUUUCACAAUCUGUGGAUGGACUACGAAAAUGGUAGCGAAAUAAGGGUGAACAUGUUUUGACAGCUCAAAUCUAAGCAAACUGUUCUGCCGUGGUGCGUAUUAUCACUGGU